CGGGUUAGAGCCGGAAUGGUUAGGCACUCCGUUUGGGGCGGAGAGUAACUAGGUUCGAUUCCUAGUAACCCGA
Molecule: transfer RNA, 73 nt
Filed under: Epichloe festucae
Lineage: Eukaryota; Fungi; Ascomycota; Sordariomycetes; Hypocreales; Clavicipitaceae
Also listed under: 2 other names
Description: tRNA-Pro
Rfam family: tRNA
About the family: Transfer RNA (tRNA) molecules are approximately 80 nucleotides in length. Their secondary structure includes four short double-helical elements and three loops (D, anti-codon, and T loops).
Source: RNAcentral